GGAUAGCUCAGUAGGGUAGAGCAUCGGACUUUAAUCCGAAAGUCGCGGGUUCGAUUCCCGCUCCA
RNAcentral lists this transfer RNA (65 nucleotides) under Nitratireductor sp. Its description in RNAcentral is "tRNA-OTHER". It matches the Rfam family "tRNA", at positions 5 to 66 of the family's 71-position model. From Rfam's summary of the family: Transfer RNA (tRNA) molecules are approximately 80 nucleotides in length. Lineage: Bacteria; Pseudomonadati; Pseudomonadota; Alphaproteobacteria; Hyphomicrobiales; Phyllobacteriaceae. The record is from RNAcentral.